Molecule: long non-coding RNA, 5709 nt
Filed under: Malus domestica (apple)
Lineage: Eukaryota; Viridiplantae; Streptophyta; Magnoliopsida; Rosales; Rosaceae
Description: long non-coding RNA (MDOM_LNC018186)
Source: RNAcentral
AGGUUCACCCAUCCAUUUCAUCUCUCAAAAAGCUGGUUCUUUUGGAUUUGGAAUAUUGCAUAAAUCUUAAGAUUUUUCCAAGCAAGAUUGUUAUGAAAUCUCUUAGAACCCUUAAACUUUCAUGGUGCGAAAACCUCGAUAAGUUUCCCGAAGUUUCAGAUGUUAUGCAGGAUCUAUCAGAGCUUUAUUUAGAUUAUACUGAAAUUAAAGAACUGCCCUCGUCAAUUUGUAAUCUUACGAGGCUUGUUACCUUGAAUCUAAACGGUUGCAAAAAGUUUAAGAGUCUUCCAAGGCGUAUUUCUCACUUGAAAUCUCUUAAAAGCCUCCAUGCUUCUCAAUGCUCAAGUCUUGAGAAGUUUCCAAAAAUUUCAGAGGCUAUGAAUAAUCUAUCUGAGCUUUAUUUGGGUGACACUGCAAUUAAGGAGCUGCCUGCUUCUAUUUUGAAUCUCACCAGUGUUGUUACUUUGAAUCUGAAUGAUUGCAGAGAACUUGAGAGUCUUCCAAGCAGCAUUUCUCACAUGAAAUCUCUUCAAUGCCUUGAUGUUUCUGGAUGCUCAAAGCUUGAGAAGUUUCCAGAAAUUUCAGAGGUUAUGAAGAAGCUAUCUGUGCUUUGUUUGGGUGGCACUGGAAUUAAGGAGCUGCCUGCUUCUAUUUUAAAUCUCACCAGUGUUGUUACUUUGAAUCUGAAUGAUUGCAGAGAACUGGAGAGUCUUCCAAGCAGCAUUUCUCACAUGAAAUCUCUUGAAUACCUUGAUGUUUCUAGAUGCACAAAGCUUGAGAAGUUUCCAGAAAUUUCAGAGGUUAUGAAAAAGCUAUCUGGGCUUUAUUUGGGUGGCACUACAAUUAAAGAGCUGCCUGCUUCUAUUUUAAAUCUCACCAGCCUUGUUACUUUGAAGCUGAAUGGUUGCAGAGAACUUGAGAGUCUUCCAAGCAGUAUUUCUCACAUGAAAUCUCUUCAAUACCUUGAUGUUUCUAGAUGCUCAAAGCUUGAGAAGUUUCCAGAAAUUUCAGAGGUUAUGAAGAAGCUAUCUGGGCUUUAUUUGGGUGGCACUACAAUUAAAGAGCUGCCUGCUUCUAUUUUAAAUCUCACCAGCCUUGUUACUUUGAAGCUAAAUGAUUGCAGAGAACUUGAGAUUCUUCCAAGCAGCAUUUCUUACAUGAAAUCUCUUCAACGCCUUGAUGUUUCUGGAUGCUCAAAGCUCAAGAAGUUUCCAGAAAUUUCGGAGGUUAUGAUGAAGCUAAUUGAGCUUUGUUUGGGUGGCACUGCAAUUAAAGAGCUGCCUGCUUCUAUUUUAAAUCUCACCAGCCUUGUUACUUUGAAGCUAAAUGAUUGCAGAGAAAUUGAGAGUCUUCCAAGCAGCAUUUCUCACAUGAAAUCUCUUGAAUACCUUGAUGUUUCUGGAUGCUCAAAGCUCGAGAAGUUUUCAGAAAUUUCAGAGGUUAUGAAGAAGCUAUCUGUGCUUUGUUUGGGUGGCACUGCAAUUAAGGAGCUGCCUGCUUCUAUUUUAAAUCUCACCAGUCUUGUUACUUUGAAUCUGAAUGAUUGCAGAGAACUGGAGAGUCUUCCAAGCAGCAUUUCUCACAUGAAAUCUCUUGAAUACCUUGAUGUUUCUAGAUGCUCAAAGCUUGAGAAGUUUCCAGAAAUUUCAGAGGUUAUGAAAAAGCUAUUAGGGCUUUAUUUGGGUGGCACUACAAUUAAAGAGCUGCCUGCUUCUAUUUUAAAUCUCACCAGUCUUGUUACUUUGAAUCUGAAUGAUUGCAGAGAACUGGAGAGUCUUCCAAACAACAUUUCUCACAUGAAAUCUCUUGAAUACCUUGAUGUUUCUAGAUGCUCAAAGCUUGAGAAGUUUCCAGAAAUUUCAGAGGUUAUGAAGAAGCUAUCUGGGCUUUAUUUGGGUGGCACUACAAUUAAAGAGCUGCCUGCUUCUAUUUUAAAUCUCACUAGUCUUGUUACUUUGAAGCUUAAUAAUUGCAGAGAACUUGAGAGUCUUCCAAGCAGCAUUUCUCACAUGAAAUCUCUUGAAUACCUUGAUGUUUCUGGAUGCUCAAAGCUCAAGAAGUUUCCAGAAAUUUCAAAGGUUAUGAAGAAGCUAUCUGAGUUUUAUUUUGGUGGCACUGCAAUUAUGGAACUGCCUGCAUCACUUUAAAUUCUCACCAGUCUUGUUACCUUGAAGCUGAAUGACUGUAGAGAACUUGAGUUUUCCAAGCAGCAUUUCUCACUUGAAAUCCCUUAAAAUACAUUGAUGUUUUAGGAUGCUCAAAUCUUGAGAAGUUUUCAGAAGUUUUCAGAAAUUUCAGGAUGCUCAAAUCUCAAGAUUCUGCCAAGCAGCAUCUGUCGACUCUAGUCCCUUAGAUAUGUUUGUCUUUCUGGUUGCAUAAGGUUUGAGGUAUUUCCAAGUAUUGAAGAAAUUAUGGAAGGAUUAAGAGAGCUUCACUUGGAUGGAACAUCUAUUAAAGAACUUUCCCUGUCAAUUGAAUAUCUUCAAGGGCUGGUGUUAUUAAAUCUGAGAAACUGCAAAAACCUUGUUCAUCUUCCAGACAAUAUCUGUAAUUUGGGAUGCCUGAGAGAUCUCAAUCUCUGCGGGUGCUCAAACCUUUUUAAGUUGGCUGUGAACUUGGAGAAGAUAGAAUCCUUGUGGGACGCUGGAGUAGAAAUUGUUGAGCACAGGGAUUCUAUUCUAUUCUUUUAACUUGUGAAUUGUAAUAUAUAAUAUACAUACUCCCAAUCCCUGUUUUACUUUUGGACACGCUUCAGAUGUUUUACGCAGCGAAUAUAGAGAAAUGUGGGCACUGUUUUCACAAUGUUCUCUGUUCUUCUUGGUGUGCUCUGCUUCCAUGAUGUGUCUUGAAUUUCUUGGAAUAGAGGACUGUCGUGCUCAUAAAUUCUUCUGGAGAAAAUAAUUACUAUACAGAAGCAAUAUCUCAAAUUGGAAGCUUGCAGGAAACUGCAAUCGAUACAAGAGCUUUCACCAAGUAUAACUUACAUGCGCCUGAUUUCACAUUUUUGGAAACAGGUACAACUUUCAACACCAUGAUGAACUCCCUGAGCCGAAAUACACAUGUCAAUACCAUGAUAAUGAAGAGUGCUUUCUGAAUUUUGAUCACAAUGGUUAACUGCGCUAGUGAAGAGAAAGUUACAUGCAACUGGAAUGUUAAUGUAGCGGUGCACAAAACUUGUCCCAUUGUGUUUUUAAUUUUUAAUUUCCACAUGGAUGUCGUGUUAUUGAGUUUAGGACACCGAUCACCCUGGCAUCCCCAAUACAAGUAAGUUCUUCAUGUGUAGGCAUGCCAAGUCCAUACUUGCAGAUCACCGAGAAUCAGUUUCAUUCAUAUUUUCUUGCAUUUGCCACAAUAACUACAUUGGUAAUUGCAGGCACCAACCUGUAUUUUCAAUUUGCAAUAACUACAUUCAUAAUUUGGGAUUUUUUAUUUUAUUUUAACGUUUAGUUUUAAUUCUUUGUCAUGUUUUCCUAGCAAAUGUAUGACUAUGUAUACGGUUUGCACUUGCUCUUGAUCUUACUCAUACAAUAAUGUUUUUCUUAUUCCACAGGGAUGAUGUGAAGCUCAUUGAGGAAAUUGUAAAAGAUAUUUUUCAGAAAUUGAUCCGCACCUCAUCAAGUAAAGACGAUGACUUGGUUGAAAUGGAUUCCCGCAUGCAUGAAAUGGAGUUGCUAUUACAACCCUCUCCUGAAAUGGACGGCGUUCGUGUUAUUGGAAUAUGGGGUAUGGGUGGUAUUGGUAAAACGACCAUAGCUAGAGCUUUUUAUGAGAAAAUUGCUUGUCAAUUUGAAGCUUGUUGCUUUCUUGACAAUGUCAAGGAAGAGUUCACUUGUGGUGCCGUACAUAUGCAGGAAAAGUUUCUCUCUAGAAUCUUGAAUGAAAAGGUGCAGAGUUUAGGCAUUUUGGAUCAAGGUUACAGAACGAUAUUGAGAAGGCUACUGAUGAAAAAGGUUUUGAUUGUUCUUGGUGAUGUUGACGACUUAUUUCAAAUUGAAACCCUACAUGGAAAGCAACAUUCAUUUGGCGAUGGGAGUAGAAUCAUUCUCACCACUAGAGAUAAGCUAGUACUAAGUCGAGCUGAUGCGAUCUACAGCCCCAAGGUUCUAAGUGGUGAUGGAGCUUUGGAACUCUUUAGCCAGUAUGCCUUUAGAACAAAGCAACCCAAAAGCGACUAUGACCAUCUCUCAAGCCGUGCUGUACAAUAUGCUCAAGGUCUCCCUUUAGCACUUAAAGUCUUGGGGGCUUUUCUUUAUGACAAAUCUGUACAGGAGUGGGAAGAGGUGCUAGAGAAAUUAAAGAAAAUCCCGCAAAGGGGAAUUCAUGAUGUGCUAAGAACAAGCUUCGAUGGACUGGAUGUUUCUGAGAAGGGCAUAUUUCUGGAUAUUGCAUGUUUCUUUAAAGGAGCGGAAAAAGACAACGCAACAAAGGUUCUGGACAGUUGUGGCUUUUAUCCCCAUACUGGGCUAAGAGUUCUAAUUGAUCGAGCUCUUAUAACUGUCUCACGGGAAACACUGAAGAUGCAUGAUUUACUAGAGGAAAUGGGUCGGGAAAUCGUCCGCCAAGAAUCUAUUAAAGAGCCUGGGAAACGCAGUAGGUUGUGGAAUUAUGAAGAUGUUCAUCAUGUGCUAACUCAAAAUACGGUGCGAUAUGUUCAUGACCUUCUUUUUCAUAUGUAAAUCUUUAGAGUAAACAACUUUAACUUUGAUCAAAAUGCAAUUCAUAGAAACAUGCAUUAACUUUAUAAUGUUAAAUAAGAUUCAGGAUAUCUACAGUCACAUAAUUUGAACUAUUUGUUAUCCAGGCUACGGAAGCUGUUGAAAGCAUAAUCCUUGACCUUUCAUUCUCAAAACCAAAAGUGAUAUACUUCAGUUCCGAAGCUUUUGUUAAAAUGACGAAAUUAAGAUUGCUCAAAAUCCACGGCGACAAUCGAUAGUCAUGUGAGAAUUUAAAGUUUCUUCUGCAUGAGUUAAGAAGUCUCAUAUGGAAGCAUUUCCCCCUAAAGUCUUUACCGUCCAAUUUUAUUGCGAAGAAUCUUGUUGAGCUUGACAUGCAAAAUAGUCUCAUUGAACAUCUUUGGGAAGGAGCCAGGGUAAAAACUUAACUUGCAUAUGUUUCUUUUAAAUGGUUUAAUUCUUAGAUGCCUUACCUUGUUUUCCUUGAUGUGUUAUACCAGCCUCUGGAAAAUUUGAAAAUUAUCAACUUAACAAGUUCUCCUCACCUGAAGCAAACUCCUGACUUCACGGAGACGAAAAAUCUUGAGAAGGCAGUUUUUCGAAGUUGUACAAGUUUAUUUGAGGUUCACCCAUCCAUUUCAUCUCUCAAAAAGCUGGUUCUUUUGGAUUUGGAAUAUUGCAGAAAUCUUAAGAUUUUUCCAAGCAGGAUUGGUAUGAAAUCUCUUAGAAUCCUUAAACUUUCAUGCUGCAAUAACCUCGAUAAGUUUCCCGAAGUUUCAAAUGUUAUGCAGGAUCUAUCGAAGCUUUAUUUAGGUUAUACUGAAAUUAAAGAACUGCCCUCGUCAAUUAGUAAUCUUACGGGGCUUGUUGCCUUGAAUAUAAAAGGUUGCAGAAAACUUGAGAGUCUUCCAAGCAGCAUUUCUCACAUGAAAUCUCUUGAAUACCUUGAUGUUUCUAGAUGCUCAAAGCUUGAGAAGUUUCCAGAAAUUUCAGAGGUUCGCCAUCUGAGCUUUAUUUGGGUGGCACUGCAAUUAAG